GGGCAGUUAGCUCAGUUGGUUAGGGCGUGGUGCUAAUAACGCCAAGGUCGCGGGUUCGACCCCGCCGCGGGCCA
Molecule: transfer RNA, 74 nt
Filed under: Anguilla anguilla (European eel)
Lineage: Eukaryota; Metazoa; Chordata; Actinopteri; Anguilliformes; Anguillidae
Description: tRNA-OTHER
Rfam family: tRNA (bases 8-65)
About the family: Transfer RNA (tRNA) molecules are approximately 80 nucleotides in length. Their secondary structure includes four short double-helical elements and three loops (D, anti-codon, and T loops).
Source: RNAcentral